This 253-nucleotide ribosomal RNA is filed under the name uncultured bacterium. Its description in RNAcentral is "partial 16S ribosomal RNA". It matches the Rfam family "Bacterial small subunit ribosomal RNA", at positions 524 to 776 of the family's 1533-position model. The record is from RNAcentral.
UACGGAGGGGGCUAGCGUUGUUCGGAAUUACUGGGCGUAAAGCGCGCGUAGGCGGACCUGCAAGUCGGGGGUGAAAGCCCGAGGCUCAACCUCGGAACUGCCUUCGAUACUGAAAGGCUUGAAUCCGGGAGAGGGAUGUGGAAUUCCAGGUGUAGCGGUGAAAUGCGUAGAUAUCUGGAGGAACACCGGUGGCGAAGGCGGCAUCCUGGACCGGCAUUGACGCUGAGGCGCGAAAGCUAGGGGAGCAAACGGG